UUAACUCAAAUUUGUAUGGAGUUGGAACGUUUGCCUCCGUUUGCCGCUAGGGGCGCUGUUCCAACUGCCUACAAAUUUGAGUUA
This is a non-coding RNA of Bombyx mori (domestic silkworm), 84 nucleotides long. The record is from Rfam. Lineage: Eukaryota; Metazoa; Arthropoda; Insecta; Lepidoptera; Bombycidae.